UAGGGAAUCUUCCGCAAUGGGCGAAAGCCUGACGGAGCAACGCCGCGUGAGUGAUGAAGGUCUUCGGAUCGUAAAACUCUGUUAUUAGGGAAGAACAAAUGUGUAAGUAACUAUGCACGUCUUGACGGUACCUAAUCAGAAAUCCACGGCUAACUACGUGCCAGCAGCCGCGGUAAUACGUAGGUGGCAAGCGUUAUCCGGAAUUAUUGGGCGUAAAGCGCGCGUAGGCGGUUUUUUAAGUCUGAUGUGAAAGCCCACGGCUCAACCGUGGAGGGUCAUUGGAAACUGGAAAACUUGAGUGCAGAAGAGGAAAGUGGAAUGCCAGGUGUAGCGGUGAAAUGCGCAGAGAUAUGGAGGAACCCCAGUGGCGAAGGCGACUUACUGGACUGUAACUGACGCUGAUGUGCGAAAGCGGGGGGAUCAAACAGG
RNAcentral lists this ribosomal RNA (429 nucleotides) under Actinomycetes bacterium. RNAcentral describes it as "Actinobacteria bacterium partial 16S ribosomal RNA". It matches the Rfam family "Bacterial small subunit ribosomal RNA", at positions 355 to 776 of the family's 1533-position model. The record is from RNAcentral. Lineage: Bacteria; Bacillati; Actinomycetota; Actinomycetes.